GUUGCGUGAAUGGAAGUCUUCCCUACGGGUUGUAAAUUUCUUUUGUACAAGAGUAAAGUGACUUACGUGUAGGUUUUUGCAAGUACUGUACGAAUAAGCAUCGGCUAACUGCCGUGCCAGCAGCCGCGGUAAUACGGAGGAUGCGAGCGUUAUCCGGAUUUAUUGGGUUUAAAGGGUGCGUAGGCGGAAUAUUAAGUCAGCGGUGAAAGUUUGAGGCUCAACCUUAAAAUUGCCGUUGAAACUGGUAUUCUUGAGUAUAGAUGAAGUAGGCGGAAUUCGUGGUGUAGCGGUGAAAUGCAUAGAUAUCACGAAGAACUCCAAUUGCGAAGGCAGCUUACUAAGGUAUAACUGACGCUGAGGCACGAAAGCGUGGGUAUCAAACAGGAUUAGAUACCCUGGUAGUCCACG
Molecule: ribosomal RNA, 408 nt
Filed under: uncultured Dysgonomonas sp.
Lineage: Bacteria; Pseudomonadati; Bacteroidota; Bacteroidia; Bacteroidales; Dysgonomonadaceae
Description: bacterial SSU rRNA
Rfam family: Bacterial small subunit ribosomal RNA
Source: RNAcentral